Molecule: ribosomal RNA, 897 nt
Filed under: uncultured bacterium
Lineage: Bacteria
Description: bacterial SSU rRNA
Rfam family: Bacterial small subunit ribosomal RNA
Source: RNAcentral
GUGUCAGCAGCCGCGCGGUAAUACGAAGGUCCCAAGCGUUGUUCGGAAUCACUGGGCGUAAAGGGAGCGUAGGCUGUGCGGUAAGUCAGAUGUGAAAUCCCGGGGCUCAACCCCGGAACUGCAUCCGAUACUGCCGUACUAGAGGAUUGGAGAGGUAGCUGGAAUUCACGGUGUAGCAGUGAAAUGCGUAGAUAUCGUGAGGAACACCAAUGGCGAAAGCAAGCUACUGGACAACUCCUGACGCUGAGGCUCGAAGGCCAGGGUAGCGAAAGGGAUUAGAUACCCCUGUAGUCCUGGCAGUAAACGGUGCGCGCUUGGUGUGAGAGGAUUCGACCCCUCUUGUGCCGGAGCUAACGCGUUAAGCGCGCCGCCUGGGAAGUACGGUCGCAAGACUAAAACUCAAAGAAAUUGACGGGGACCCGCACAAGCGGUGGAGUAUGUGGCUUAAUUCGAUGCAACGCGAAGAACCUUACCAAGGCUUGACAUGCAUCUCUAAUCGCGUGAAAGCGCGUGACCCUUCGGGGGAUUUGCACAGGUGCUGCAUGGCCGUCGUCAGCUCGUGUCGUGAGAUGUUGGGUUAAGUCCCGCAACGAGCGCAACCCCUGUGAUCAGUUGCCAGCACAUAAUGGUGGGAACUCUGGUCAGACUGCCCAGAUCAACUGGGAGGAAGGUGGGGACGACGUCAGGUCAGUAUGGCCCUCACGCCUUGGGCUGCACACGUACUACAAUGCCCAGUACAAUGAGAACCGAUACCGCGAGGUGGAGGAAAUCUACAAAACUGGGCCCAGUUCGGAUUGGAGGCUGCAACUCGCCUCCAUGAAGUCGGAAUCGCUAGUAAUGGCACAUCAGCUACGGUGCCGUGAAUACGUUCCCGGGUCUUGCACACACCGCCCGUCA